UUCGUCUGCAGUGUAAAAAUGAAGAAUCAAGUCAGGCUACAUAACUUAUGAAUUGUGAGGCUGCAAACUCAGCAUGGCGUUGUAAAGAAGUUUCAACCGUUGAAUUAAUAUUUAAAUGUGGUGGGUUGAGUCUAAGCCGUCCAGUAAAAAAAAAUGUUAGAAACAAUCCAGGAUUCCCAGAUAACUUCGGUACAAGAAGUGAGGUAUGCAUUGUUUCACCUGCAUAUUCAAUCUCUCUGUGCUGAUAAAAAGUGAAAGAAAGAAGUGAUACAAGAAGAUUUUGUUCUGUGUGUUUUUUACGGGACAAGGUUACCCCAUAACUUAGCUUGAAAACAACAAUAAGCCUUUCAAGUACAGUGUUGUGAGUGUUUAAGUUGUCUUGUUGGCUUAUGAAGAAUCCAGUGAUGAAGAAGAUCAAGUACCUCAUAAAGUGAACCCAGAUCGAGUGUCAGCCAUUACAUGAACUGCCAGAUCCAUCCGUUUACCAUAACAAGAUCUUUAGUCUACAUGGGAAUCAAUGGGAUGGCAGUUCCACUGGUUCCACAUCAGGCAACAAAAUAUCACUGCUGUAGAAAAGUGUUAGCCAAUAAGAAGGAACGUCGACUCAGUUUUCACCUACGUGUUCCAUAAUCGACGAAGAAUAAUCUUUUUUGAUUGAUAUUUUCAAAACCCUUAUCACUCACCUCUGCAGCCAAAGUUUUACAACACGAGCCACAAUAUUAUUGGACUAAAAAUCUUCGGGUUACGACCGACACGGGCGCAAAUACUGGUUUAUUGCAGGACGCAUCUUUGUCGAAGGAACUGGUAACCAGGAAGAAAUUGACGUUGACAAAGACACUAGCUACAGUUGAAGAAAAAACGAGCAUAAAGGCAACAACAAAUCCUAUCUGGAACUUGACGAAGUAGUUGCUAGUAGAGAGGCCGUUCAGAUGGUCGUCAAAAUUGAGAAAGAAGGAGAAAACAAAUCUAAUGAAAGCCUAUCGGUCGAUGCAAUCAAAUGACAAAAUAGAAACUGAUAAAGUUGUGAAAAAGUGUGGCAUCUGUGUAGAAUCGAGCCAUGAAAACCAGCUAAUACCAGUACACCAAUGACCAGCGGAACUUAUUCCACACGAUCCUCGACAGGCACUAUUGUGGCGCGACAGGCACUUAUGUUGCCUAACUAAUGGUUCUGGAGGAGUCGCUAUCAAGGAGAAAAGCAGUCAAGGAGUCACUUGGUCACAUUCUUCUCACAACUUCAACAACAGACAACACUUGAACGUUAAGAGCGUAAGGUGAUGAACGAGGAAGAGAAAAAGGAUAAAGAACUAGAAGAGGAGAUGCAAUGUCUACAUACCGUCCAUUAUGCCAAAGUCAUAAAAAACAGGAACAGUUGAUGAUUUGAAAAGUGCAAGAGUUCCGUCUUUAUGGCCACGUGAGUUGUCGCUAGCUGUCUGCAACUCACCUUAUGCGACGCCUUGAUAUCAGACAAUGCGGAUUAAGAGCUGGAUCUUGGCGAAUCAUCAAUUCAUCACUCAUAACUGAGGUCUGGAAUCUCGGUAUGUUCAAGCUAAUCCUGCAACUGUAAUCGAAACUUAUAGAAACUUCCCACCUGAUCCAGCCAUGGAACGGCUGGUGGAACGGCUGACAGGCAACACGUUCAACGCGGAUCAUCUGUGAUUGUUGUGGGUAUGAUUUUUUGUAAGUUAACCCGUUGGCUGCCACGCCUUUGUUCUCCCCUAGCUCCUUAGCACGGGCCGCGC
Molecule: long non-coding RNA, 1739 nt
Organism: Daphnia pulicaria
Lineage: Eukaryota; Metazoa; Arthropoda; Branchiopoda; Diplostraca; Daphniidae
Exons: 5
Source: RefSeq, a predicted model, not a curated record